UUUUGAGCCUUAAAGCAUAACAAAGACCCUAUUCAUGUUUGACCCUCUCAGAACUGGGCACACCAAGGCAUAGAGAGGUCUAUAGAACAUGCCGGUACCUAGAGCUCCUCAGUAGGAUUUGAACCCAGCAGGGGAGGCUCCAGGCGCUGUGCUCUUGCUCACUAGGAUAUGCUAGCUCUCUCUAUGACCUCAUAGAAGAGCACAUGUUUGCCCACACAUCAGGCUGUUGGGCUCUAAGUGCAACCCAAACUUCAAGCUCUUCCCAGAGCCCAACUCAGGUUCAGGUGCUUCCCGUGGAGUUGCUCAAACAGUUUUUCAAAGUUUGAACCGUGAAUAAACUAGGAAGAAUUCCCCUACGGAAUUCUGCCAGCCAGACAUCACCAGUGCUCUUUCUUGUAAUGCACUUGAAAGCACGUUGCAUCCAGGAUCUGACAGUGGUACCUGAAAACUCAGCACAGGGAAUUCUAUUGCUGGACCAACGGAGUGGGUCAGAAAAGUCCACAGCUGGCCACAGCAUUCUGUGCAGCUGGAAAAUUCAUCAGUGGAAGGUACUGUGGAAAACCAGUUCAGCUCAUUCAGUCAUCAUGAUUCUGGUUGGUUCAGCGUCUCAUAUUUAAGGCAAAACUCUAACACUGUUAUGCUGUGGUCUUCUUUGAGUUCAUCUGUGCAAUUUGAAAUUAUCAAGGGAAUCGUGAGUCUUACAACUAGAGUAGAAGGAUAAAGCUGGGACAGUUUGCACAGAAAGCCCCAUCUCAAUCUAACGCUCCCCAUGCAGGCGAGUGUGAAACAUCGUCUGAGAUGAGCUCUUCUCUGGGCUCAGCCACGCCUUGCAAGAUGCCAAGAGAAUCAAAAGGCUUCAAGUGCGAAUCAAUCGGUAUGAACCUCUGUAUAAAUCCUGCCAACAGGAUGUCAGCAGCUGUCUCUAUCGUCAUACAUUUGGGAGGUGUGGCCACCAGGAUCUGACAGUAGUUCCCGAGGAGUCGGCACCGUCUAUCCUGGCCUCAUGCAGUGGGUCAGAAAAACCCACAACCGGCCACACAGCUGAGGUCCUCCCAGAACACCAUCCAUUGAAGGUCCUGUGGGAAGUCAGUGAAGUUCAUUCAAUCGUCACGAUUCUAGUGGGUUCAGUGCCCCGUAUUGAAGUCAGAACUCUAACACCGUUAUGCUUUAGUCUUCUUUCAGUUCAUCUGCGUGCAUUUAAAUGGAAGUCAUUGCUAUUCCUACAACUAGAGAAGUGACGAUGUUUUUACAGUGUAAAGGUAGGUACCCUUUAACGAGAAAGCAACAUCUCAAUCUAAUGCUUACAGCAGAUAAACCUCUUCCUGAAACAAUGUUGCCGUCCCUGACAAAAUUAGUCACUGUGUAGAACACUUUGAAAUUAACAUAAAACUGGAAGAGACAGUACAGAAAGCUCUCAGACCCUUUGUCCACACUUCUUUUCUGAACCCCUUUUUUCAGCGGUGUAGUUCACAGGUAACAGCAAUUACACCAGUAUUGCUACAUUCCUACCAACUGACGUCAGGAGCCUGCUUUGAGGCUCAGCGUGUUGUACCAUCUAUGGGUUGUGACAAACUCUGAAUGCCUCUCACUCCCCAGACGAAGGAGCUGCACGUCCCAACCUCUCCCUGUGCUUCCCCUGCCAAUCCCCUUACCCGUCUCCGGAUGCCCUGGCAACAACGGUCCUGUUCACUGUCUCUACAGUUUCCUUUUCCAGAACUGUCUAUGCCUGGAAUCAUAGAGCAGGCAGCUUUUUUAGAGGGUCUUAUCCCACUCAGCGAUAUUUAUUCACGGCCAGCGUCUGACUUUGAGGUCACCCCGUGGUGGCUACCCUCUCUUCCCAGCCUUUCUUGGCAAGGCCUCAUGUUGGCUUCAGUGGGAACUUCUUUUCAUCUGCCCAGGCCCUUCUAACACCCACCAGUGUCAGCAAGGCCAGGACCAGGGACAGCAGCAGCCUCCUGCCUUGGGUUCCUGGGACCGCACCCCCUCCCCACUGAAAUUUCCCAGGAAUCUGUAGCCACCUCCCAGCCAGUUCUGAUAGGAAUCUGAGAAAGGAGGAUGCUCCAUGGAAAGAGUCAUGGAAACUUCACUCCAACCUUCUGUACUAGAGUGUCAUGAUUCACUGGAGAGAAGGUACCCAAGAAUGUGGAAAGCCUGACUCCCUUCACCGCCUCUGCCAGCCACGGCUUCUGCAUGGUGGGCAAGAUGUGCUCUGUAAAAUGAGAAAAGGGGCAUCUUCAGGGACUGAGCAUCAGGCAAGCACGUGGCCCUCUUCCUAGGAGGAAGACACGAUAGGUCGUGCAUUGCAAGGCUGGGAAAGAUUUAUUCAGUGUCAUGACCAAAAGAAACUUCACCCAAUUCCCCGCCUAACCUCGUGGGUGAUACAGGUUUCUGCUGCCUUUCGAGGUCCUUUGGAAGAAAACAGGAUUCUUGCUUAAGAAAAUGUAGAUGAGAAAUGAGGCAUAUGACGGGUUGCGGAACAUGUGGAUUAUAAACACCACGUGAAAUGCUUUCGAUUUCAUAGAAUUCCGUGACCCUGCAAUUGAGCUCUUCAUAUUGUUUUUCCACAAAACAAAAAGAUGAGACUCACCAUUAGAAAAGAGUCACUUUUUCUCCAGAAACAGGCUUCUCAUAAGAAGAUUGCCCUGGACGUUUCUCACUCUCUAGAACACAGCGGCCCAGUGGUGCUUGAGAGAAAACCCAGGGUGAGGAAUUCAAUGCUAAAAGGAGCGACUACAAGACCAAGGGCUGAGGAACCCAGAGGCGGCCGCUCAGUGGACUCACGGGAGAAGGCAGGGCUGGGGCCCCAGGCUGGACCUUGAGAGGGAGAAGAUAUAGAGGGGGAGAAGGAAGUCCCAAGAGCACCCGGGCGCGGAGAGAACGAGGAUGGGGGAGGAUGGCUUCCAGGGUUUUAAUGUCAGGAGGCUCAUUAUGUCAUCAUCCCCAGAGUCCAGCGAUUUUCCUGCUCCUUCUGAGUGGGAAAGAGCAGGGCGGACUGUCCUGGCUGCAGUGAGCCCCGCAUGGACACCUCUGCCUUUUCUCAAGAGACGGGUUCCUUCCUGAUGAAUCUCUGAGACAGGAGCUGAGGACUGGGGUCUUCAUCAGGUUGUGACAACGCAGACCUUUCCCAUCCUGGAAGCUGGCCACAGACAGAGCAGGAAUCCCAUUUCCGAUAUUCUGAGCCAGACUGGCGGGGGACAUAGUUCAGCAGGGAUAGACUCAAGGUGAGGCCUGACACAGAGAGGCGCCCAGGCCUGAUCCUUGUGGGGCUGGGCAGAAACCAGUUUCCAUCUUCCACGUGCUUCUGGAAGUUUCCUGUCAAGCGUGCUUCUGUAGACGGCACUAGCCAAAGGUGGCCUGGCUCAGAAAUGUGUUGAAACUGAAGGUAGUGUGGCCCCCGGCCAGGGAAGCUGCCCGGCAAAAGUGAGGGCACCAGCUCCGGUCCCAGGCGAGCUCAGCAAAGUCCGGGAGGCCGAUCCCUGAGCCAGCCUUCCUUGCUCCUCCGUUUCACGGCACAGAGGACAUGGGUUUGAGAGUUUCUCCAAAAGGAUCUCGGAGUUCUCAGGCCCAAACUCUGAGUCCUCCCCCUCCUGGGGAGCCGCAUUCUGGCCACAGCUUUUCAGUGCAAGGGCAGGAACUGUGACCUCGGCAUCCCCUCUCCUCACAGCCCUCAGCCCUGGGCAGCCUGUCUUAGGCCCCAUGAGGCUCUCAUGAACGCAGCCCUGGGCUGGGCUCUAGCUCCAGUGGGCAAAAGUUCCCUCCUCACCCUGUCCCACCUGUUGGACCCUCCCACUGGGCGAGGUGUCUUCCCAGAGUUCCAAUCAAGUCAGGGGUGGUGAGGGGGGGCUCCUGCAGACAGAGCUCUCCCUGUUCGUGGGCUCCCUCUGCUCUGAUCCUGUCUAGACAGAGUCGGUUUCAUCCUUCUGAGUGCAAGCGCACCGCCUACACCACGGGGUCCCUCUGGGCCAAGGCACUGUCCUCACUGUUAAGUCCCCACAACUCACAGUGUCUGGUCCUUCUGCAGGUCCUAACCAUAUGCGAUUUCCUUUCAAAAGCCCUCAGAAAUCACACACGAAUGAUUGCAUCAGAGCAUCCAACAACUCUGCAAGGAAACACGCAGGAAGGGAGUCACGUCUUCCUCAUCUGUGUAUCUCUAGAGCUGCACCAUCCAGCAUGGGAGUCCCGGCCUGGCGGUGCUGUGUAUAACCAGUUCAUUCGUGAGGGCAGUUCAUCCAAAUAGAAUGAGACAUUCCACUCCCCAGUCACACUGGCCACAUUUCCCGUGCCCCACAGACUUGGUGCCACCUGCCACCACAUUCAAGACAGAGCAAGAUAAUUUGCAUCCACAAAACACACCGUUGGGACUCUGCUCAGAGCAUGGCACGGGGACUGUGCAUUGAACUCAUCUAACUACGAAACCCGUGCAUCAGAGCUGGAAUUUCAGAGACUUCAUGGUCAACAGAAGACAUGACACAAGCAGUGAAGAAGGUGACACUCCGGGUUUGGAACAACCCAAGGGGGGACCCGAUAGAAGAGGGUGCCUGCAGCAGUCGGGGUCGGCCUGCGGCUUCAGAGACGAAGCAAGUGGGACAUGAAAUCAGAAAGAGAAAGGAGGUGUGUGUGGAAGGCGGCUUUGUCCUUGUCUCUCCUGACCCAGCAGGGAGAGGUUGGAUCCUCUGGUCUUUGAGUGUGCAGUGUCUGUGAUCAUUUUUUCCCUCUGCGGUAUUUAAAACAAUCUUUCCCAGCAAACCACUUCUUCCCUGCCUUUGCCUCAGCCAAUCUUCAAAGCCUUUGGUGAUGUGUGCAGCACCUCUUGGGAAAUGUACACAGCAGAUUUUGUCCCAGGUUUUGGGCAGCGACCAGCAGGGGAUGCAAACCGGGUGCCCAACUCUCUCGCAGGCACCACGGGAUCCGGGAACCAAACCUCCUCUAGCCAGUGCAGGUGGGGUGAGAAGCCGGCCCUCCCCCUCCUUGCUUUCAGGACCCUGGCCGCUGCUUCCUGGUCUGCCUCACUGUCUGUUCCUGGUGGAAAGGCUGUUUGUUCCCUGGGCUGGACGAGGUAAGGAAUCCUCCUCUGGGAUCACCGCAAAUGUCCUGCAUCCUGGAGACGCAACAGGAAACACAGCCCUCAGCACGUUUCAGUCCCCAGGUGUCACCCAAAUGCCACAUCCUGGGAUGAGGAACAAAAGCUGAAUUUACUUUGAUUUGAGAGGCCCCAGUCCAGCUGCCCCUGGAGACCUUCUCCAUUUGAGAGGAUGUGUGAAGGGAGCUGGGCUUCCUGCCCAUGCUGAGUAUCACAGUCUCAGUGACUUCAUCCCUGGAAUCCUCCAGGCCCGGGACAGAGUCCCUGGCAGCAGGGAAAGGGCUCUCUGCACUCUCACGCCCACUGCCCUGACCAGACAGCACUGCCCUGCUGCCCACACUCCAGCCUCUUCUCUGUCUUCUGCCCUGCCGGGCACCAGGUUCCCACCCCAUUCUCCCACCCGCAGCUUGGUGCAAACCCUGACCCGUCCCCUCUCUGUAUGUAGCCAGAUCCUGCCUGUUAUCGAGUCCCUGGCUGCCUCACUUGCAGACUAAGGUUAUUUCCACAAGUUACAUGACCUCAAACUCAUGUUUAUCCUCUCAUGGGCUCUGGAACUGCCAUGAAGAUCCAAUGUCUCUGAAGGCCCCCAAAGUUAUACCAAAAGUAGAAACCUCACUUGGCAUAGUGAGUCUGAUGUAAUCCUCUCCCAUAGGACCCCACAUAACUGCAGGAUGGCGGGAGGGGAGCCCUGGGCUGCUCAGUUCGGUCAACUGAUCAAUUAAUUGGAGGUGGUGGCAGUAUGCCCACGGUGACUGCAUCAGGGGUUGGAGGACGAUAGGAAUGGUGGAAGGUGAGGAGGGGACAGGAAAUGGGUGUUAUCAUGGAGAAUGAAACAGGCCCUAAAGUGGGGAGGGCAGAGGGAAGUCCAUGUGAUGCACAGAACGUUACGGAGAUGGUGGCCAACUCUCGGAGACACAGGAUGGCCCAGGCGACCCUUCCUGGUCACAGUUAUGGAAUGUGGUGACUGGAAAAGUGUUGGAGAUGGGGACCAAGAGCCUCCUGGGGCUGGGCUCCAUCAUCCCAGGAGCAGCAGGAACCUGGUUCCCACCUGCACUCUAACUUCCUCCUUUCUUUCCCAAGGCCACCCCGUUGCGCUUCCUGCCGGAGGACAUGCAGCCGGGAAUGUGGCAAAUUGCAAGGAAUCUGAGAGUGGAGGCAGCGGCAUGCCUGUCAUUCAGUUCCUGUCUCAUCUUCCUUUCACCCUCCCUUUCCUUUCCAUCCCCCUUUUCUUUGUCAGGAGCUUCUCUUUGGAGCCCCGCGCCAUUCCCUCUUGCAUAUUUUAGGCCCAUCCUCCUGAAGGACCUGGUCCCACCCAGGCAGCUGAGGUCCUGGGUCUGCACUGGGGAUGAAGCCCCAGCCCUCCUUUCACUGCCUUGGCCCUGUCCUGGGUGCUGACCCCAGGCUGCAGCACUGACUCCUGCUGAGCAGCCCCAAGGGCUCCAGGCAGGGAGCUGGGCUGGGGGAGGAAGGAAAGUCUGGGUCUGUCCUGGACACCCCCUCACAGGGCGUUUUCUGCCCUGGGGGCUCUGGACAUGCGCAGUUCUUCUCUUCCAGAAGUCAGGACAGUGUUCCAUUCUCCCUGCAGGAGAGGACACAGAGGACACAAAGGUGGAAGAAAAGAGAGGGAGUGAGCAUGGAGGGGCCGCACGAAGAGGGGCCGGCAGGACGUGCACACGGCCCAAUGCUCCUCGCACUUUCUUACUGCCCUGACCGCUAAAUCAGUGCAGUCCAUCCCAGAAAACACUGGAGCAGCUUCUCUUAAGGGGAACUCAACAGCCGCAGAGGAGAGAAUCCUUUUCAACAAUCCACACACCAGAUUCCCAAAGGCUACCCAGUUGAACAUCUACAUUAAUUCGCUUCCGCAAGACAUUUAGGGAGACAGACUCAUAGGACAGAGCCUCACAAGGAAUUCGCUUCCCUGUAACUGAUAAACGCUUAAGAGCAGUGAAGGUGGAAACAAUGCCAGUCUCCUACAUGCUCUUCCAGAGAUGAGAUGUGGGGACUCAUCCAGCUGCCUCAUCAGAUCAGGAGACACUAGACCCCACCCUAGAAACAGACACUGCAGGGAAGGGGAACGUCAGGCCAAAGGCUCUGGAGAGGAUGUGUCCGAAUGUGACGGCAAUCUUCAGCAGUCUCGAUUCUGAGAUGCUUGGAAGGAAAGUAAGUGAACUCUCCUGCCGAGGUUUGCAUGGGGCUGAGGAGGACAGGACCGCUGGCCGUUUUGCUGCCGCCUGGAGAGUGGUGAGAUAGGAGAUGCCAUCGGGCUCGUGGAAUACACAUUUGGCAACAGAGUGACGGAGGCCCUGGGUGGUCCUCACAGAGGAUCCUGGGGUGGGGUCUUCAGGCUGUAGCGAUGAACAGAGCCCUCUAAGAGGAGAUGCAGUCUGCCCUGACACGGCAGGGUCUAGGGAGGGAGAAGAUUGUGGAGACUGAGUCUUGGUGAAGAGGGACUCGGGCAGGGAGGCGCCUACUGUGUGCUGGAGGAGACACUGCCUCUUUUCAGCCAGGCCUGAGUCUGGGCUGCUGAGACACAUGCUCAGAUCUCCAGUCCAUGAAUGAGAGGAAAGCAGGUGCUGGGAGGCUUCACUCACUGAGCCACCGGAGCAGCAGCCCAGGGGCCUCCUCCCAGGUAUUCACCUUCACUGGUCAUAAGAGUUUGUCAGUUACAGUGAAGCUAAUUCUUUGAGAGGUUCUGGUCCCAUGGGUGUGGCUGGCUCGGGAAUCCUGAGCUCUGAGCCAGUGAGGGGUCAAGCAGGCCACUAAUCAUUCAGGGUGGUCGCCGGAGCACCGGAAACCUCACCUUGAGGCGGCUCCUGGUGUGAAGGUGCUGGGGCAGGAGGGGCGUGGUUUGGACCCUGAUCCUUCUCUUUGUUUGAGGUCACCUUGGUCAGAUUUUCGGUCAAGGAUUAAAACAGAAGCAGGAGCCUGGGUCAGGGACCACCCACGAGAGGAGCUCUCCUCAAAGCAUUCCUGGAACACGAGGAUUUGGGAUAUGGGUGAGGGAAGACCUGGUUCCGGCGCCCAGGGCGUGAUCGAGAGGCCUCUGGGCUUCAGGGAUCUCCUUCUCCAGGGACCUAACUACAUCCCUGGCUCUGCCACAGCCCUCCUCAGUAUUGUGACUCUGGGGAAGUCACUUAGGCUUCUCAGUUUUAGUGUCCUCAGCUGUAAACUGUGGGUCCCAGCCCUGCUCUGCCCACUUCACGGGGCCCCUGUGAGGGUCAGAGGGAUGGCGGCAGCUGCUCUCGAGGAGCUGGAAGGCAUCUUGCCCAUGUAAAGCCUGGAAAGUGACUCAUGACUCUGGUGGCAUCUCUGCAGGAACCACUGCUGCUUGUCUCUCAUUCCCCAGACAUUUCGGAUCUGAGCAUGACUACAGCCCUAAUGAAGUGGCAGUUAUUUGGAUUCUGGCUUCAUCUGGGUCUGCCUCUAGGUCGCAUCUGAGCUCAGGCCAUCAGGCACCUGCCCCUUGCUCUCGGUCAGUGAGCUCAGCUGCCUUCUGAAUUGUCUCAUUAGAGGAAAGUUCCCAGGAUCAGCCCGGUGUUGAUAUAAAGAGCUCACAGCACCCCAGCACCUGUCCUCCUAAGCCCAGCUAUGACUCGGUGGCUCCCCUAGGCAGCUGCUGGGCACGAGUGUCACCUGGGAAAGAUGAACACCUGCCCGUGGUCGCCUGCCCGCACCGUCUCCACAGGGGGCGCUACUUUCAAUGUAUUUUUCCCAAGCUCAUGGCUUGUGGCUACAACAAGAAGACAUCACGAAAGAUUCAAAUUUAGAAUACACCAGAAAGGUGAUCCGGGCUCAACAAAACCUCCUGGCCAUUCCCAGAGCAUCCCAUUCGGCAUCUGGCAACAGCAUGGAGCCUCGGACGUCACCCUUGCCAGCUCCUCCACUAAGGGCGUCAUGGACCUGAAGCCAUUAGGAGAUUGGGGUCUUUAUUGUGGUUUGCGCAGCCGGGCCUGAGUCUUGGUGAGGAAGGACAGGAGCAGGAAGGUGCCCAGUCAGAGCUGGGGCAGCCACUGUUUCUUCUCAGCCAGGCCUCAGUCCAGUCCGCUGGGGCAGCUGCUCUGAUCAACAGGCACUGAGAUCCUGGCAUCUUGCAGGCUUCAGGGGCAGCUGCUCUGAUCAACAGGCACUGAGAUCCUGGCAUCUUGCAGGCUUCAGUCCUCGAGCUGCCCAAGCAUCAGCCCAGCAGGCCAAGUUUUCAAUCAAAGAAUCUGAACUGCCCAGGAGGCCGGUUUGGUCAAUUGAAGGUGAAUCUGAUUUGCAUUCCAACGGCUGCGUGGGCAGCUGGUGGGGGACGUCCCGCAUUCCGAGUUGGUUCGGAGUCAAGGAGGCUACUGGUCAUUCAGGGCAGUCACCCUACCCCACGGGAGUGUCUUCACAGGGCAGCCACAGAGUCACCGUGGGGGCAGACAGACACAAAUGUGGACCCCAUGCCUUCAGGAGGGCUUCAUUUGGGGAACGUCAUGGCAUUUUGGGUCAGGGAUUGAAAUGUAAACCCGGGAGUUGAGUCGGGAUUUGGGCCCUUCUCUUGGGCCAAGCGCCUCCUCCAGGCAUCAGUGUCUCCCUGCAGCAGCUGUGGGGUUGGGGCUUUGGACGAGGAGUGAAGAGGGUCCUUGGUUCAGUGUCCAGGGCGGGAUCUAACGGUCUUGAUGCAGGUGAGCUCGAGAACUGGCUCUGCUCAAGAGACAAGAGGGAGCCAACAGUGAAUGAAGGCAUGUCUUGGUGAACAAGUGUCGCCCAAAAUGGCUGCUCCACAGAGAACAGGGCUGUCCAGAGGCGUGAAGCACCAGUGGAGGGAUGGCUGGCUGAAUUUAUACCUACUCCUAAUUAUAUGCUAAUUAAGGGGUGGGCUAUUCAUGACUUUCUGGAAAAGGGGCAGGAGUUCCCAAAACGGUGGAAGGUAACAUCCAGGGCGUGACCUUAGCACUGGUAACAUUUCAUAGCCCUGGGGGGAGUGCCUCAAGGGAAUGCAUUAGAAUUCCUAGCCCUAGCUGGUUCCCUUGGCUUCUUCACUACAUCUUGUUUUGAUCAGCAGGGCCUGUGUGACAGGUGCUUGGAAAGUGAGUCCUGCUCGUCUCCUGCCUGAGCCGUGGCAUCCAGCAGUGCCUCUCAGUUUGGAUUGGAAAUAUUCUUAUAUCUAAAAUUGUGCAAUACAAUGUUUGAAUAUUUCAUUUACCUGUGAUUGACUGUGCUUUUUAAAGUUGUUCAAUUCAUCUUCACAAUAAAAGAAAAAGUGAUUUUGAAAUCAAAUGUGUAUUUUGGGAUAUGUAGACUUUGUCAAAGAGAAUUUUCAAAAGGGCUUUGACUUCAUGGAGAACCAGGUUGCAAAUAUCCAGGGAUUCCAAGAUACUACAUAAAGCAUCUAGCGAUAGAAAUACUUAAAAUACGGAUGUGAAAUUUCCCCAAGUUGCCAAAUAUCCCUCUGCAGCUGUGAACAAGAUGUGGCUAGUUUUGUCUUUUGGUUUCCCUGAAGACAAAUCCAAAGGUAGAUAGCACAGAAGGGUGUGUGCGUGUACGUGUGCAUAUGUGUGUGUGUGUGUGUGUG
This is a non-coding RNA of Callithrix jacchus (white-tufted-ear marmoset), 10622 nucleotides long. Lineage: Eukaryota; Metazoa; Chordata; Mammalia; Primates; Cebidae. The record is from RefSeq and is a predicted model, not a curated record.